This 221-nucleotide unclassified non-coding RNA is filed under the name Paenibacillus alginolyticus. Its description in RNAcentral is "contains 16S-23S intergenic spacer region". It matches the Rfam family "Bacterial small subunit ribosomal RNA", at positions 977 to 1194 of the family's 1533-position model. Lineage: Bacteria; Bacillati; Bacillota; Bacilli; Caryophanales; Paenibacillaceae. The record is from RNAcentral.
AGGUCUUGACAUCCCAAUGUAACGCCUAGAGAUAGGCGCCCUCUUCGGAGCAUUGGAGACAGGUGGUGCAUGGUUGUCGUCAGCUCGUGUCGUGAGAUGUUGGGUUAAGUCCCGCAACGAGCGCAACCCUUGAUCUUAGUUGCCAGCACUUCGGGUGGGCACUCUAAGAUGACUGCCGGUGACAAACCGGAGGAAGGUGGGGAUGACGUUUCCAGGUUAGG